Molecule: ribosomal RNA, 415 nt
Filed under: uncultured crenarchaeote
Lineage: Archaea; Thermoproteati; Thermoproteota
Description: partial 16S ribosomal RNA
Rfam family: Archaeal small subunit ribosomal RNA
Source: RNAcentral
GUGCAGCAGUCGCGAAAACUCCUCAAUGCACGAAAGUGUGACGGGGCUACCCCGAGUGCCGUCCGCUGAGGAUGGCUUUUCCUCGGUGUAACUAGCCGGGGGAAUAAGGGGAGGGCAAGACUGGUGUCAGCCGCCGCGGUAAUACCAGCUCUCCGAGUGGUAGGGGUGAUUAUUGGGCUUAAAGCGUCCGUAGCCGGCUUAGCAAGUCUCCUGUUAAAUUCAGCGACCUAAUCGUUGAGCCGCGGGAGAUACUACUAGGCUAGGAGGCGGGAGAGGCCGACGGUACUUCCGGGGUAGGGGUGAAAUCCUAUAAUCCCGGGCGGACCACCAGUGGCGAAGGCUGUCGGCUAGAACGCGCUCGACGUUGAGGGACGAAAGCUGGGGGAGUGAACCGGAUUAGAUACCCGUGUAGUCC